GACGAACGCUGGCGGCGUGCUUAACACAUGCAAGUCGAACGGAAAGGCCCUGCUUUUGUGGUGUUCUCGAGUGGCGAACGGGUGAGUAACACGUGAGUAACCUGCCCUUGACUUUGGGAUAACUUCAGGAAACUGGGGCUAAUACCGGAUAGGAGCUCCUGCUGCAUGGUGGGGGUGGGAAAGUUUCGGCGGUUGGGGAUGGACUCGCGGCUUAUCAGCUUGUUGGUGGGGUAGUGGCUUACCAAGGCUGUGACGGGUAGCCGGCCUGAGAGGGUGACCGGCCACAUUGGGACUGAGAUACGGACCAGACUCCUACGGGAGGCAGCAGUGGGGAAUAUUGCACAAUGGGCGGAAGCCUGAUGCAGCAACGCCGCGUGCGGGAUGACGGCCUUCGGGUUGUAAACCGCUUUCGCCUGUGACGAAGCGUGAGUGACGGUACUGGGUAAAGAAGCACCGGCUAACUACGUG
This 468-nucleotide ribosomal RNA is filed under the name uncultured bacterium. RNAcentral's name for it is "partial 16S ribosomal RNA". It matches the Rfam family "Bacterial small subunit ribosomal RNA", at positions 28 to 507 of the family's 1533-position model. The record is from RNAcentral.